RNAcentral lists this unclassified non-coding RNA (2117 nucleotides) under Melitaea cinxia (Glanville fritillary). RNAcentral's name for it is "misc RNA ENSMCXG00005008150.1". Lineage: Eukaryota; Metazoa; Arthropoda; Insecta; Lepidoptera; Nymphalidae. The record is from RNAcentral.
CGGAAAUAUUUGAAAAAAAUUGUUACUUGUAUAUAUAUUAUAGCAGUGACAAAUAUAAUUGAAAUCAUAAAUGUUUUUAGUGUCGAAUGUUUUCCCUAGUGGCCGCUGCUACAGUAGCGCCAUUAUUUUCCUUAUAUUCAGGGUGUGUUUUCACAGAUUCUUCAUUCUACUGCAAUUCGUCCUAAGGUGAACAUCCGAGGUUAAUAGCUGCAGCGUGUGUGACAUUGAAGUGAAAGCUUGUGUUUUCUUCCUGAACACCUUUUAAUGUUAUAAUCAUCAUUAAGAAUAAUAAUAUAAUAAACCAAAUCAGAAGUUUUUAUCAAACUACAAUUUCAAAAGGAGUCAAUACAGUGGAAAGUACUUUAGCUGCUAUUUACCAGUAUCGAUCCGGCAAACAGUUUUCCGUGAAUAAGCUAUAGUUUACAGCGGCGCCUACUAUACUUCAACAAAAACGUUAAAAGUUAAGAGUCACCGUCACCGUCGCCGAGAUGGCGUUCAUGAUGCCUGUAGUCAAGAACGAUUGGGACAUUUACAACUCGCAGCGAUCGCGACGGACUUCGGAGUCUGCGGACAAGGCGGGGAUCGGAGGUCGGGUGCGGAAAGUGUCAGAAUCAAGAUCGGAGGGGCCCGUUCUAUCACCGCGAACAGCCGCCGCGCUCAGCCCACACCGGAGCGCCCCUGCGAUGCGCUCGCUAUCUUACUGUCGGGUACCACCGUCACGGGCGUCGUUACGAGUGCACGAAAGCCGAAAGGACUCGGGUAGCCCGUCCAGCGGAGCGCGGGACAGCGACAAGUUUCACAGCAGGUUGGUGAAGAAGUUGCGGCGAGCGUUCGGUCGCUCGGAGACCCGGAACGACGAGAGGAGCUCGUGAGUUAACCGGGCGUGCUUGUGUGCAGGGCGUGCGCCGGCUCCCCCGAGCGACACUCGCGCUGCGGCGCCUGCAUGCCCUACCUGUGACGAGGCCGGCCCCGGGGGCUCGCGCUCGCGCCCUCGCCGACACACCAUCUGUGAUAUGUACGCGGUAGAGCAUACCAGUUGAGUACGUUUGAAUGUGUUAACCGAGGAUGGGACUGGAACCUUAACGUUUGAACAUCCCAAUGCAAUAGCAAUAUAGUCGUCAUCCAUUAGAUUCGCUUUGACGGUUGCAUGUUUGUUUAGUAUUAUGUUCACCUUCGAGUAUUAAAGGGUUGUUAGGAGAGAGGUUGUAACGGGGCUGUAUGAUGAAUGUUUAAGACUGCGAUUAGCUUAAGUUGGAAUACCGGUAACGUCUAUUAGGCUAUUACGAAAAGCUAAUACCGUUUGCCCAGUAGUUCUGGCAGUUCGCGAUGGGUAUCUGUGAUUUGUUAACUAUAACUAUAAGUUACGGAGUUAUUUAUUUUAAAUGAAAAGAAGUACCUUAUUAUUUAAUUUUUUAAGUGUGGACGCCGUAUUAAUAGAAAUAUCAAAGACGCGAGCAAAUUGAAAGUAUUUUACUAAAAUUUGCAAUUUUUUUAACUUAUUACUAAAUACAUGUAUGUUGGUUUCAGAACUGAGUUUACUAUUCUCUGCUCUACAUUUUAACUUCAAGAUGUAUACCUGCGUUAAACUUUUACAAUAUAGUUAUUUAAUACUUAUAUGUUAGAUAUAAUAUUAAUAUUAGCUACCUAUUGAACAUGGGCUCGUCCCGAUUACUGUAUUACGUAUGGUAAAGUAUUUUUUUUUUGUUAAAUAAUGCAUGAUUUUAUGUGAUAUUAAAAUGACUGUGUAAAUGGACCAUAUUAAAUUUUAAAUAUUCAGUGAAACUGAACACAAAUGACUUAUAGUGAUUGUAUUUUAAACUUUUAGCCAUUAAUAAGCAAAUAUCAUACCUACUUACUUAGAUUUCUUUGCAUAUAAAAUUAAGUUCCUUUUUUAUAAUAAAAGAACUGCCGUAUUUAUUUAAGUUACUGAGUUUUCGUCUAAAUAAUGUAAUCGUUAAAUACAGUGUUUGAAUGUACAUAUUUGCAUGUAAUCUGCAUUGUCUGAUCUGAUGGUUUUUUUAAAAUAUAUUGCUUAUCCUAAUAAUAAAAAAAAAAAAAAAAAAAAAAAAAAAAAAAAAAAAAAAAUACAGUCGAAUUGAGAACCUCCUCCUUUUUUG